AUUGAACGCUGGCGGCAGGCCUAACACAUGCAAGUCGAGCGGAUGAAGGGAGCUUGCUCCUGGAUUCAGCGGCGGACGGGUGAGUAAUGCCUAGGAAUCUGCCUGGUAGUGGGGGAUAACGUCCGGAAACGGGCGCUAAUACCGCAUACGUCCUGAGGGAGAAAGUGGGGGAUCUUCGGACCUCACGCUAUCAGAUGGGCCUAGGUCGGAUUAGCUAGUUGGUGGGGUAAAGGCCUACCAAGGCGACGAUCCGUAACUGGUCUGAGAGGAUGAUCAGUCACACUGGAACUGAGACACGGUCCAGACUCCUACGGGAGGCAGCAGUGGGGAAUAUUGGACAAUGGGCGAAAGCCUGAUCCAGCCAUGCCGCGUGUGUGAAGAAGGUCUUCGGAUUGUAAAGCACUUUAAGUUGGGAGGAAGGGCAGUAAGUUAAUACCUUGCUGUUUUGACGUUACCAACAGAAUAAGCACCGGCGAACUUCGU
RNAcentral lists this ribosomal RNA (483 nucleotides) under uncultured bacterium. RNAcentral's name for it is "partial 16S ribosomal RNA". It matches the Rfam family "Bacterial small subunit ribosomal RNA", at positions 30 to 506 of the family's 1533-position model. The record is from RNAcentral.